RNAcentral lists this unclassified non-coding RNA (331 nucleotides) under soil metagenome. Its description in RNAcentral is "partial contains 5.8S ribosomal RNA, internal transcribed spacer 2, and large subunit ribosomal RNA". The stretch from base 1 to 120 matches the Rfam family "5.8S ribosomal RNA", at positions 35 to 154 of the family's 154-position model. The record is from RNAcentral.
GAUGAAGAACGUAGCGAAAUGCGAUAAGUAAUGUGAAUUGCAGAAUUCAGUGAAUCAUCGAAUCUUUGAACGCACAUUGUGCCCCCUGGUAUUCCGGGGGGCAUGCCUGUUCGAGCGUCAUUUCACCACUCAAGCCUCGCUUGGUAUUGGGCAAUGCGGUCCGCCGCCUGCCUCAAAUCGACCGGCUGGGUCUUCUGUCCCCUAAGCGUUGUGGAAACUAUUCGCUAAAGGGUGUUCGGGAGGCUACGCCGUAAAACAACCCCAUUUCUAAGGUUGACCUCGGAUCAGGUAGGGAUACCCGCUGAACUUAAGCAUAUCAAUAAGCGGAGGA